This 253-nucleotide ribosomal RNA is filed under the name uncultured bacterium. RNAcentral describes it as "partial 16S ribosomal RNA". It matches the Rfam family "Bacterial small subunit ribosomal RNA", at positions 524 to 776 of the family's 1533-position model. The record is from RNAcentral.
GACAGAGGGUGCAAACGUUGUUCGGAAUUACUGGGCGUAAAGCGCGUGUAGGCGGCUCGGAAAGUCGGAUGUGAAAGCCCAGGGCUCAACCCUGGAAGUGCACUCGAAACUCCCGAGCUGGAGUCCCGGAGAGGAAGGCGGAAUUCUCGGUGUAGAGGUGAAAUUCGUAGAUAUCGAGAGGAACACCUGUGGCGAAGGCGGCCUACUGGGCCGGACCUGACGCUGAGACGCGAAGGCGUGGGGAGCGAACGGG